This is a long non-coding RNA of Helianthus annuus (common sunflower), 150 nucleotides long. RefSeq lists it as uncharacterized. The transcript has 3 exons. The record is from RefSeq and is a predicted model, not a curated record. Lineage: Eukaryota; Viridiplantae; Streptophyta; Magnoliopsida; Asterales; Asteraceae.
ACCGGAAAUACUAUCAGCUGGAAAUAAAAUUGAUGUGUUGAACGGGAUAGCAUGGGAUGAAGAUAAGAAACGACUUUUUGCGACUGGGAAACUUUGGCCGAAGCUAUACGAGGAAUCAGAUUUGAAAUCACACACCAGCUUGGAUUGCAA